RNAcentral lists this ribosomal RNA (253 nucleotides) under uncultured bacterium. Its description in RNAcentral is "partial 16S ribosomal RNA". It matches the Rfam family "Bacterial small subunit ribosomal RNA", at positions 524 to 776 of the family's 1533-position model. The record is from RNAcentral.
UACGUAGGGGGCAAGCGUUGUCCGGAAUCAUUGGGCGUAAAGCGCGUGUAGGCGGUUCGAUAAGUCUGCUGUGAAAGUCCAGGGCUCAACCCUGGAAAGCCGGUGGAUACUGUCGGACUAGAGUGCGGAAGAGGCGAGUGGAAUUCCCGGUGUAGCGGUGAAAUGCGCAGAUAUCGGGAGGAACACCAAUUGCGAAGGCAGUUCUCUGGGCCGUAACUGACGCUGAGGAGCGAAAGCGUGGGGAGCGAACAGG